GCACCCUUUACGCCCAGUAAUUCCGAUUAACGCUUGCACCCUACGUAUUACCGCGGCUGCUGGCACGUAGUUAGCCGGUGCUUCUUCUGUCGAUACCGUCAUGAAUUGUGAUUAUUUACCACAACCUUUUCUUCUCAACUGAAAGAGCUUUACAACCCGAAGGCCUUCUUCACUCACGCGGCAUUGCUGGAUCAGGCUUGCGCCCAUUGUCCAAAAUUCCCCACUGCUGCCUCCCGUAGGAGUCUGGGCCGUGUCUCAGUCCCAGUGUGGCUGGUCGUCCUCUCAGACCAACUACUGAUCGUCGCCUUGGUAGGCCCUUACCCCACCAACUAGCUAAUCAGGCAUCGGCCACUCCAAAAGCGCAAGGCCUUGCGAUCCCCUGCUUUUCUCC
Molecule: ribosomal RNA, 391 nt
Filed under: Nitrosomonas marina
Lineage: Bacteria; Pseudomonadati; Pseudomonadota; Betaproteobacteria; Nitrosomonadales; Nitrosomonadaceae
Description: partial 16S ribosomal RNA
Source: RNAcentral